This 438-nucleotide ribosomal RNA is filed under the name Clostridioides difficile. Its description in RNAcentral is "bacterial SSU rRNA". It matches the Rfam family "Bacterial small subunit ribosomal RNA", at positions 1 to 446 of the family's 1533-position model. The record is from RNAcentral. Lineage: Bacteria; Bacillati; Bacillota; Clostridia; Peptostreptococcales; Peptostreptococcaceae.
UUUUAUUUGAGAGUUUGAUCCUGGCUCAGGAUGAACGCUGGCGGCGUGCCUAACACAUGCAAGUUGAGCGAUUUACUUCGGUAAAGAGCGGCGGACGGGUGAGUAACGCGUGGGUAACCUACCCUGUACACACGGAUAACAUACCGAAAGGUAUGCUAAUACGGGAUAAUAUAUUUGAGAGGCAUCUCUUGAAUAUCAAAGGUGAGCCAGUACAGGAUGGACCCGCGUCUGAUUAGCUAGUUGGUAAGGUAACGGCUUACCAAGGCGACGAUCAGUAGCCGACCUGAGAGGGUGAUCGGCCACAUUGGAACUGAGACACGGUCCAAACUCCUACGGGAGGCAGCAGUGGGGAAUAUUGCACAAUGGGCGAAAGCCUGAUGCAGCAACGCCGCGUGAGUGAUGAAGGCCUUCGGGUCGUAAAACUCUGUCCUCAAGGAA